RNAcentral lists this ribosomal RNA (497 nucleotides) under uncultured bacterium. RNAcentral describes it as "partial 16S ribosomal RNA". It matches the Rfam family "Bacterial small subunit ribosomal RNA", at positions 28 to 507 of the family's 1533-position model. The record is from RNAcentral.
GAUGAACGCUGGCGGCGUGCCUAAUACAUGCAAGUCGAGCGAACGGACGAGAAUCUUGCUUCUCUGAUGUUAGCGGCUGACGGGUGAGUAACACGUGGAUAACCUCACUAUAAGACUGGGAUAACUUCGGGAAACCGGAGCUAAUACCGGAUAAUAUUUUGAACCGCAUGGUUCAAAAGUGAAAGACGGUCUUGCUGUCACUUAUAGAUGGAUCCGCGCUGCAUUAGCUAGUUGGUAAGGUAACGGCUUACCAAGGCAACGAUGCAUAGCCGACCUGAGAGGGGGAUCGGCCACACUGGAACUGGGACACGGUCCAGGCUCCUACGGGAGGCAGCAGUAGGGAAUCUUCCGCAAUGGGCGAAAUCCUGACGGAGCAACGCCGAGUGAGUGAUGAAGGUCUUCGGAUCGUAAAACUCUGUUAUUAGGGAAGAACAUAUGUGUAAGUAACUGUGCACAUCUUGACGGUACCUAAUCAGAAAGCCACGGCUAACUACGUG